RNAcentral lists this long non-coding RNA (1202 nucleotides) under Homo sapiens (human). RNAcentral describes it as "HSALNT0313799". Lineage: Eukaryota; Metazoa; Chordata; Mammalia; Primates; Hominidae. The record is from RNAcentral.
GCGUGAUGCUGGGCUUAGGAUUCAAAUGAUUCCAUCACCCAGCCUUCAGGAGCAGCUGUGUUUGGAAGAAUUAGAAUAGGUGCAUGUAUCCAUGUUUUUUAGAGAAUAUGAGAAGAGUCAAAGACGUUUGGAGAAAUAGUUUCCUGUAUUAAGAAAGGGUGAGCCAAGAAUAAUGGAAACUGUGUAGGAAUUGCUGGUUUGUGCCAAGGACUGUGCAGUGUACUUUUCAUUUCUUUGAUCUCUACAGAGACAUUUAUCAGAUUCUGAGUAUUAUAAUCAGCAUCUUCUGGAGCAAUAUAAACAACUUGGCAGAGACUAAAACUAAAAAUGAACUCUCCAUUCCAUCUGGAGUCCAUACGAUUCAGACACAGGUCAUCGUCCACUCAACCUGCCAGUGCAUCUAGAUGACUCAUACAUUUAUGCUCUUCUGCCCAUUUCAUCUGGAUUCCUGAAGUCCAUGAAAAUUUCAUCUUAGAGUCUACAUUUGGGCUUUUCCUUGACCAUAACCUCUUAUCUGGCUUGGUAACUACCUGUCAUAGAAGAUCUCUCAAAUGACCUCAUCUCCAGGUUUGCUGUGUCCUUUUGUAGCUCACCACAUGGUAUAAAAUUUUCUUCUCCUCCUAUACAUGAACAUUGUACUGUAGGGUUGUGACUGUGCCACUCUUAAGAUUUGUCCUGCACCAGGAGCGUGACUUGGCAUGACUCAGAGAAUAGGCUAUUGCCAUGUUUGACACUGGGCCUCCCAGCAGAUAUAACAGGAUUCUGCAAGAUUGUAUUCUAAUUUCAACUCAUGUAAGACCUAAAUCCUUAAAUGGCAGCUCUGUGGCAAGUAGAGGAAAAACGUAACUUCUUUUCUUGUGUCACUCAGGAAGGUACAUGUAUUUCUGGUUUGGAAAAAAAUGGAAUUUACAAGACUAUAAUGACAUACAUAAUCAUAGCAUGCCAACUUGUCUAAAGAGAAAUCAAAAGGCCUUCAUUGUUGCAUGAAGCAGAGAGAGAAAGUGUGAAGCGAUAUUACACUAUUUCCAUCUCAACUAGAAAAUAAGAUUGCAUUGAUUGUUGAGGUUACUCACUUCAGUAUUGUUAGUGAGUAGGUUUCCUCAAAGAUUAGCUCGAGUUAUGAAAACCAUUGCCUUUCUGAAGUGGUGAUGAUAAGAGAUGGUCAUGCUAAAUAGGAUGAGAGCUACUUACCUAGCUCUUUU